Molecule: long non-coding RNA, 237 nt
Filed under: Trifolium pratense (red clover)
Lineage: Eukaryota; Viridiplantae; Streptophyta; Magnoliopsida; Fabales; Fabaceae
Description: long non-coding RNA (TPRA_LNC011505)
Source: RNAcentral
UUUAUUGUUUUUUUCUUUUUUAUAAUAAGAGAGUAAAAUUCAUGUAGAAAUAAAAGGAGAGAUUCAAUGGAAUUCUUUAUUUCAACGUCAUAAGUGCAUUAUACCAAAUAAGACAACAAAUGUAUGGUUUUUUUUAUCAUUUAUUGUUUAUGUUUUGUUAUUUUAGAUUCACUCAACUUGAUUUAUGGACUUCAACCCAAUAUUUAAUCAAGUUAAUUUUCAAUUUGUAGUUCAACU